UUCAUGGAGAGUUUGAUCCUGGCUCAGGACGAACGCUGGCGGCGUGCCUAAUACAUGCAAGUCGAGCGGACAGAUGGGAGCUUGCUCCCUGAUGUUAGCGGCGGACGGGUGAGUAACACGUGGGUAACCUGCCUGUAAGACUGGGAUAACUCCGGGAAACCGGGGCUAAUACCGGAUGCUUGAUUGAACCGCAUGGUUCAAUUAUAAAAGGUGGCUUUUAGCUACCACUUACAGAUGGACCCGCGGCGCAUUAGCUAGUUGGU
Molecule: ribosomal RNA, 263 nt
Filed under: Bacillus paralicheniformis
Lineage: Bacteria; Bacillati; Bacillota; Bacilli; Caryophanales; Bacillaceae
Description: partial 16S ribosomal RNA
Rfam family: Bacterial small subunit ribosomal RNA
Source: RNAcentral